AACGUAGGAGACAAGCGUUAUCCGAAUUUACUGGGCGUAAAGCGCGUGCAGGUGGUAGGGUAAGUUGAAUGUGAAAUCUUCUGGCUCAACUGGGAGAGGCUGUUCAAAACUACCCAACUAGAGGACGGUAGAGGGAGGUGGAAUUCCCGGUGUAGUGGUGAAAUGCGUAGAUAUCGGGAGGAACACCUGUGGCGAAAGCGGCCUCCUGGACCGUACCUGACGCUCAGACGCGAAAGCUAGGGGAGUGAACGGG
This 253-nucleotide ribosomal RNA is filed under the name uncultured Bellilinea sp. Its description in RNAcentral is "partial 16S ribosomal RNA". It matches the Rfam family "Bacterial small subunit ribosomal RNA", at positions 524 to 776 of the family's 1533-position model. Lineage: Bacteria; Bacillati; Chloroflexota; Anaerolineae; Anaerolineales; Anaerolineaceae. The record is from RNAcentral.